UACGGAGGGGGCAAGCGUUGUUCGGAUUUACUGGGCGUAAAGGGCGCGUAGGCGGCGCAACAAGUCACUUGUGAAAUCUCCGGGCUUAACUCGGAACUGCCAAGUGAUACUGUCGUGCUAGAGUGCAGAAGGGGCAAUCGGAAUUCUUGGUGUAGCGGUGAAAUGCGUAGAUAUCAAGAGGAACACCAGAGGCGAAGGCGGAUUGCUGGGCUGACACUGACGCUGAGGCGCGAAAGCUAGGGUAGCAAACGGG
RNAcentral lists this ribosomal RNA (253 nucleotides) under uncultured prokaryote. Its description in RNAcentral is "partial 16S ribosomal RNA". It matches the Rfam family "Bacterial small subunit ribosomal RNA", at positions 524 to 776 of the family's 1533-position model. The record is from RNAcentral.